Perognathus longimembris pacificus (Pacific pocket mouse) is the source of this 435-nucleotide long non-coding RNA. RefSeq lists it as uncharacterized. The transcript is spliced from 2 exons. NCBI's taxonomy places the organism in Eukaryota, Metazoa, Chordata, Mammalia, Rodentia, Heteromyidae. The record is from RefSeq and is a predicted model, not a curated record.
GUGUCCCGAGUAACUAGGAUUACAGGCAUAAGCUACUAGGUGCUUUGUGAAUACUAUCCAAGUACUUUACCAUUGAGCUACAUUUCCAACUUUAUUUUAAUGGAAAUUUCAUACACAUUUAAUACAAUUUUUGUCAAAAUAGUUCUUAUCUUUUUUGGAGGACUAGAGGAUUGAGAUAUUCUCAUGUAGUACACAAGUGGGCUUUAAAUUUCACAUCCUUCUGGCUCAGUCUCCCAAGUGUUGGGAUUACAGAUGUGUGCUAUUACCUGGCACAGAAUGUCUUAUCAUAAUAAAAGUAAAGUGACAUCUUAAGAGGUUCAUAAAUCAAAGAUUCAUUAAAAAAGCAGGAUAAUAAUUUAAAAACUUUGCAACAAUAAACUCAAAACAGUUUAUUUAUCUUAUUUAAUCAUCUAAGGUAGGAUUAAAAAAAACAAA